RNAcentral lists this ribosomal RNA (550 nucleotides) under uncultured bacterium. RNAcentral's name for it is "bacterial SSU rRNA". It matches the Rfam family "Bacterial small subunit ribosomal RNA", at positions 355 to 896 of the family's 1533-position model. The record is from RNAcentral.
UAGGGAAUCUUCGGCAAUGGACGGAAGUCUGACCGAGCAACGCCGCGUGAGUGAAGAAGGUUUUCGGAUCGUAAAGCUCUGUUGUAAGAGAAGAACGAGUGUGAGAGUGGAAAGUUCACACUGUGACGGUAUCUUACCAGAAAGGGACGGCUAACUACGUGCCAGCAGCCGCGGUAAUACGUAGGUCCCGAGCGUUGUCCGGAUUUAUUGGGCGUAAAGCGAGCGCAGGCGGUUAGAUAAGUCUGAAGUUAAAGGCUGUGGCUUAACCAUAGUAGGCUUUGGAAACUGUUUAACUUGAGUGCAAGAGGGGAGAGUGGAAUUCCAUGUGUAGCGGUGAAAUGCGUAGAUAUAUGGAGGAACACCGGUGGCGAAAGCGGCUCUCUGGCUUGUAACUGACGCUGAGGCUCGAAAGCGUGGGGAGCAAACAGGAUUAGAUACCCUGGUAGUCCACGCUGUAAACGAUGAGUGCUAGGUGUUAGACCCUUUCCGGGGUUUAGUGCCGUAGCUAACGCAUUAAGCACUCCACCUGGGGAGUACGACCGCAAGGUUG